UCUUCUUCUUCCUAAUAGCCUAUUCCAAAAUUGCUUCUCUCUCACUUUCCCUGUAUUUUCUGUGCUUCUUCUUCCUUUUGAGUUCUAUGUUUGCAUCUCUAUUUAGUAUUUAGUCAUUUAUGGUUACUUUUGAUUCUUCAAGUGUUGCAUGCUGGUUUUACAUGAUUUAGAAGUGAUCGGAAAGAAACCAAACGAAAACGAGGCAAAAAGGAGCUAAAAUGAAGAAAAUGAGAAGAGUGACUAAAAUGCAAAGUAUUUGAUAGAUCUACAAAUCUGGGGCUAUUUUCGUCAUUUCCAACUAGAAAAGUUGUGGAGCUGCAAGAAGAAAGACUUGGAGAACAUUAUUUUCAUCUUUAGCCAUUUUACAAUGUCACGACCCAACUAGGGGCCAUGACGGGUAUCCGGGGCUAACCACCGAGCACCGCUCAUACCAUUACCCAUUGUACUCAUCAAGCGUUCAUUCAUUAAUCUUAUACUCAAAUCAUAGGAAAA
Molecule: long non-coding RNA, 492 nt
Organism: Lycium barbarum (goji berry)
Lineage: Eukaryota; Viridiplantae; Streptophyta; Magnoliopsida; Solanales; Solanaceae
Exons: 2
Source: RefSeq, a predicted model, not a curated record